CCCCACUCCACCGCGCAGAGCCAGAGAGGGAAAAUCACUUUCAUCUGGAGAAGCGCGUGCAAAAUGCAGGUCACCGCUGUCCCUAAAAAAAGAUUAAGGAUAGAUUUGAGUUGGCCUGAUGGAGAGAUCUUCCAGACUGCUCCGGCCCAUGGAGGAUGCAGAGCAUCACAUAAGAUCAAACAUUGAUAAGCCAGUACUUUACCAGUGUUUUAUCAAUAUCUUUAAAGGACGAGGAGUUUUUGCACAACAGGAGAGCGAGGUCUGAGCUGAUCAGUACAAUGAUUCUGAAAAGGUGUUUAUUUUCAAUGGAAAGGAAGAACAUGGUGUAUCUCUACUUGAACAUCCAUCUUUUGCACAUCUACCAUUCCAGUGUUUAAUUGCCAUAUUCCUCAUGUGGGCUGGUAAAAUGCAGGUUUUGGAUGUCGGAGGAACGUGAGGCCAAAGUCGUUUUGGAGGAGAGCGCCUUGGUGGAGUUGGAGGUGUUCCCGGAGACCCAGAUGUCAACGGGUAGUCAAUCCGUAGGCCGCAGGGAGAGGUUGGAGGAGUAAUGGUAGAGUUGGGCUCAUAUCUCGACAAAGUAUAUAUAGAUGAUGAGGCGUUCGGGGCCCUCGUGGGGGAGAUGAAGGAGAUUGUGGAGGAGCUCCAAGUCUCACAAACAAGGACGGCGGAAUGGGGGUCCAUCUCACCCUUACCUGCCACUCCAAGAACGAAGAGGGACGCCACCACAGCCCAGCAGGUCCUGCAGGAGCCAGGGCUGUUUGUGCACUCGGGUGAGGCCCGGAGGAAGAAAAAUAAGAGGCUUUCCUUCGAGAUGGGGGAGGGCCAGAGUGGGCUGGGAGGGGUGGGUGUGUGAGAGCGAUUGGGGACAGUGCCACAGAGGUGGCCCCCCAGUCACCGCGGGUAUCAUCUCUCCCACUCACCCCGAUGGACAUAGAUCUGGUGGCCCCUGCGCUGUGUAUGACCGAUGGAGAUGGGUUGUUCCAGGCUUUUUCUGGGACGCCGGGACUCCCCAUCCACAACCCCAACCCAUUCCCUGCAUCUUGGGCUUCUCAGAAGGGGGAUGCAGUGGAUGGGGAGGCCUCAGAGGAAGGGGGUCAAGAGCCCUUGUCCGUGGAUGUAUGAGGGGUUGGGGAGAUGGUCAGUAACCCCGAGGUGUCUCCCCUGUCCUCACGGGGUCCAUCUCUCCAGCUCUUCCAGGUGGACAAGAACAUGUCGUCCCCGGGGCUGUUUUUGCCAGAUGGGGAUGGGGUGUCUCAGGCUAGUUCUGGGACGCCGGGACCCCCCCCAUCCCCAACCCCUUCCCCGCAUCUUGGGGUUCUCAGGGGGGCGGUAUGGGGGGUUGGAAGGUUGGGGGGGGCCUCGCAGGCUGCUGGUCCAGCGUCCAAGUGCGACGAGGACCUUUACCCACCGGACAGGGUGAGUACUUGAACCCUGCACCUGGUUGACUUUUCUUUUUAAUUGUGCAACCAAGGCAGAGAUUCAAAUAAUGACUAUGAAUGUUCGGGGUCUAAGGGACACUGUAAAAAGAACUGCUGUCUUUAGUUGUUUAUCAAACAUAUGUUAUACCUUUUUGUUUCUUUCAGGAGGUACAUUUAAGGGAUGGGGGGGAUGUAGAGCAGUUUAAAAAAGAGUGUGUAAAAGGGAAGUCUGUGUGGAGU
This is a long non-coding RNA of Oncorhynchus keta (chum salmon), 1658 nucleotides long. RefSeq lists it as uncharacterized. NCBI's taxonomy places the organism in Eukaryota, Metazoa, Chordata, Actinopteri, Salmoniformes, Salmonidae. The transcript is spliced from 5 exons. The record is from RefSeq and is a predicted model, not a curated record.